CAGGGAUUGCCCUAGUAACGGCGAGUGAAGCGGCAACAGCUCAAAUUUGAAAUCUGGCCCUCGGGUCCGAGUUGUAAUUUGUAGAGGAUGCUUUUGGUGCGGUACCUUCCGAGUUCCCUGGAACGGGACGCCAUAGAGGGUGAGAGCCCCGUCUGGUUGGAUGCCAAUCCUCUGUAAAGCUCCUUCGACGAGUCGAGUAGUUUGGGAAUGCUGCUCUAAAUGGGAGGUAUAUGUCUUCUAAAGCUAAAUAUUGGCCAGAGACCGAUAGCGCACAAGUAGAGUGAUCGAAAGAUGAAAAGCACUUUGAAAAGAGAGUUAAAAAGCACGUGAAAUUGUUGAAAGGGAAGCGCUUAUGACCAGACUUGGGCUUGGUUGAUCAUCCGGCGUUCUCGCCGGUGCACUCUUCCGGCUCAGGCCAGCAUCAGUUUGCUUCGGGGGAUAAAGGCUUUGGGAAUGUGGCUCCCUCGGGAGUGUUAUAGCCCACUGUGUAAUACCCUGGAGCGGACUGAGGUACGCGUUCUGCAAGGAUGCUGGCGUAAUGGUCAUCAGUGACCCGUCUUGAAACACGGACCAAGGAGUCGUCUUCGUAUGCGAGUGUUCGGGUGUCAAACCCCUACGCGUAAUGAAAGUGAACGCAGGUGAGAGCUUCGGCGCAUCAUCGACCGAUCCUGAUGUUCUCGGAUGGAUUUGAGUAAGAGCAUACGGGGCCGGACCCGAAAGAAGGUGAACUAUGCCUGUGUAGGGUGAAGCCAGAGGAAACUCUGGUGGAGGCUCGCAGCGGUUCUGACGUGCAAAUCGAUCGUCAAACAUGGGCAUGGGGGCGAAAGA
This 828-nucleotide ribosomal RNA is filed under the name Scolecofusariella peltigerae. RNAcentral's name for it is "Scolecofusarium ciliatum partial large subunit ribosomal RNA". It matches the Rfam family "Eukaryotic large subunit ribosomal RNA", at positions 69 to 930 of the family's 3401-position model. The record is from RNAcentral. Lineage: Eukaryota; Fungi; Ascomycota; Sordariomycetes; Hypocreales; Nectriaceae.